CCUUUGUACACACCGCCCGUCGCUACUACCGAUUGAAUGGCUUAGUGAGGUCUUCGGAUCGGCUUUGGGGAACCGGAAACGGUACUCUAUCGCUGAGAAGUUGAUCAAACUUGGUCAUUUAGAGG
RNAcentral lists this ribosomal RNA (125 nucleotides) under Pseudobaeospora sp. Its description in RNAcentral is "partial small subunit ribosomal RNA". It matches the Rfam family "Eukaryotic small subunit ribosomal RNA", at positions 1657 to 1779 of the family's 1831-position model. Lineage: Eukaryota; Fungi; Basidiomycota; Agaricomycetes; Agaricales; Tricholomataceae. The record is from RNAcentral.